ACGAGUGGCGCACGGGUGCGUAACGCGUAUGCAACCUACCCUUUACUGGGGGAUAGCCCGGAGAAAUUCGGAUUAAUACCCCAUGGUACUAUAAUAUAGCAUUAUAUAAUAGUUAAAGAUUUAUUGGUAAAGGAUGGGCAUGCGUGACAUUAGUUAGUUGGUAAGGUAGCGGCUUACCAAGACGAUGAUGUCUAGGGGUUCUGAGAGGAAGGUCCCCCACACUGGUACUGAGACACGGACCAG
Molecule: ribosomal RNA, 243 nt
Filed under: uncultured bacterium
Lineage: Bacteria
Description: partial 16S ribosomal RNA
Rfam family: Bacterial small subunit ribosomal RNA
Source: RNAcentral